CUUUGCACCAGUAGUCCGUAUUUAAGAAGCUGUUAAGCUGAAUUUAUUCAAGGUCUCAUGCUAGAUUAUGUUGUUACUCUGCGUUCUUAGUUUGUCUGAAAUCUUCUAACAUUUCAAUAAUACUAUUAAUAUAAAACAGCAGAUGCGAUAUAAUUGCAAAUGAGACAACUCUCCACAAGAGCCCAAUUGACACAGAAAUUAAAAACCAUAGGUCACCACACGGCCUUCAACAAUGAGCAAAUCCCAUACAGCACAGUCAGCUUUAAAAGGUCCUGAUUGAAUGGCAAAUGUAAAACAAUUUAAACGAGAGAACUAACGGCCUUAUUAAUGUACAAAAAUGAACGAAAAAAAAACCCUAACACAUCGACAAACGACAACCACUUAAUGACAGGCUCUUGACUUAGGACAGGCACAUGCUUAAUGUGGCGUGUUUAACAUGUUGGUGGGAUCCAAACCCUCCCUUCCCUGUGACAGUGGUGUAACAUUACAACAUAAGAACGAACUAUAAGAAUCAGUUGACAAAGGCUGAACUCAUCAGAUGGAUACAAUCAGAAAUAAUACACAGAGUGUACGUGGCUGGGUACUUGUAUAUCCCAUGCAACAACCCAAAAAAAAAACCCCGUUUAGUUCAGAAUAUACAUUCGAAAAAGAAAAGAAAAACAAAGACAACCUAGAUUUCAAAAACACACACACUCUAUUACAAGAAAAAAUAAACAAACCAAUAAAUACUUAUGAGAAAACAGUAAAAGAAAAUAUACCCGAUAAUUGACAAAAACAGCCAAGAUUUAUUAACUCAAAGAAAGGAGUUUUUCAAUAAAACAUUUUUUUACAAAAAUAGAA
This 840-nucleotide long non-coding RNA is filed under the name Mytilus galloprovincialis (Mediterranean mussel). The record is from RNAcentral. Lineage: Eukaryota; Metazoa; Mollusca; Bivalvia; Mytilida; Mytilidae.